Rosa rugosa (rugosa rose) is the source of this 2088-nucleotide long non-coding RNA. RefSeq lists it as uncharacterized. The record is from RefSeq and is a predicted model, not a curated record. The transcript has 5 exons. Lineage: Eukaryota; Viridiplantae; Streptophyta; Magnoliopsida; Rosales; Rosaceae.
CUAGAUAUUUUCUCUCGCUCUCGCUCUCUGCCCCGACGGCUGUACGUCUUAUGAGAAACAAUCUUGAGAGGGUUCAAGAACGAUCCAGAGAGCCGGGGUCUUUCUCUUUGAUCUGUGCGUGACCUACCUAACAUAACAAUCCAGAGAGAUCGAUCAAUUAUCAAGAACGAUUGAGAGAGAGAGAGAGAGAGAAAUAGGGUGUGUUUCUGUGAUGGAGAACUUGAAAUUCACUGCUCCAAGGAGGGCUGAUGAGAGAGAAAAUGAAGGGUGGUGAUGUUGCUGAGCCCUUAAGCUCUUUAAAUCACUGGGUAAUUGAGGUUAGUCGAAGACAGACAAAGCACAACAUUUUUGGACAUCACGAUCUUCUUCAUUAUCAAAGGGAUUUCAAUAAACAGGAACAUUAGGUGGCAGUACUGCUUUGGACUCUAAUUUUGGAUUGUUGUUUUUUGUUUCCUUUGAUGCAGUUGUCCUUCUCUUGAGGAACAACGUUGACAAAAGGGAGGCAUUAGAUAACCUGGAUAUCAUACUUUUUCCUUUAUUUGAAGGCUUGAGAAAAGAGUGAACGAGGUCGAGCAGUAUUACUUGAGGAAAGGAAGUCUGCAACCAACCACUUCGAAGGAGAAAGACAGAGAUAAACAUUUUAAUACAAUUAAGAAGCAGCAGCAAGAUGCAUCACGUAGGGAAGCCGCUGCUGCAAAGAGGAUGCGAGAUCUGUUAAGUUUUCCGCAAACUUCAAACAGGUAUGCACUAACCUCAUGAUAGGCCACUGGCAAUGGAUCAACAUACUUGGAUAUAUGAUGAUGAAGAUAUUUGCUUUACAUGCCAGGGUUCUGUUAAUGUAAAUGAUUGUUUUGUAACGUAAAUGAGUGUUUUAUAUGUUUGUUACUUAUGCUUUCUCUUCAUAAUAUUGUUGAAUACUUUGAUUUUAAAAAUCAACAUCUAAAGUUAUUUCCUACAGAAGGGGGAAACUGAGAUGAUGAAGUGUUGGGAACAAACUCAAAUAUGGAUGGUGAAAUUAAAAUGCUAUAUGCUGUUAUCAAGUUUGAAGGAUAAUGCCAAUUUUUUGAUGUUCAUGUCAAUUUCUUAUUCCACGGAAUAAAAAGCAGCUAUUUAUAUAUUUCUUAAAGCUAUAAACUGUAAUAAGUUGAAUUAUUACAUAAUAUCAAGGUUGAUAUUCUGCGAUCAGUUGUUCAUGUUUAUCUCUACAAUCACAAGCUGAACAGGACAAUGUUGAUUAUCACUUAUAGAUUAUCUCUUAGAUGGAUAUUAAGUUUCAUAAAAAGCAGAGCCAAGGAGCUUAUAUAAUGAUGGAAUUUUCUCUUGCUGCUAGAAAACUGUGUUCCUUCAUAUAAUGGUGUUUUUUUUUUUAAUUAAUUAAUUAAUUUUAUUUUUUAUUUUGUUAUAUCUAAUAUUAGUACUACUGCCUCUAUCAGUGAGGGUUACAAACUACAUAUGCCAGUAGACUUUAUUUGUUUUCAUGGUUUACUUUGUAUAAGGCUUUGCUUUACUUCUUCGAUUUGAAGCUUUGCUGCUUCAAAAGUGAUGAAAGUAUUUGCUCUUGGUUAAUCAACAGAAGUUCACUAUUGUGUGUGAGAGUUUUUCUGGGUUUAUCCCAUCUGUUGUUAAUCUAUUGAUUUGUUUGGAAAGAACCUUUCUUAUUGGAAAAUCUGUUCUGGGAUUGUAGUAGAUUGUGAUUAGCUCCACUUGCUGGGAUAAAGUGUGAAAGAGAUGAUCUUUUGUUAUGUUUCACCAUUUGUGUUAUUUGUAUUCGUGCUUAGAUUACGACCAUUAGGUGUCAUGAAUUCUUUCUGCCAUUUCUUUAUCUCAGUAAUAUGUAGCUGUAAAUCAGAGAGAACCCUUUUUUUUUAAAAGCUUUACAUGUUGCUGAUGGGCAAAAACAAUACUUAAUAAGUCAGUAACUGGGAGUGUAGUUGCAGAUGGGAUGUGCAAGUCACCUUCUAAAGAGAAAUUGAAGCAAAUGAGAAGCAUUGAUAUCAACUCCAACUUGAGGAGGCUAUUAGUAACAUAGGUGCAUUUUCUCCCCCAGUAUUUGGUGGUUGUUACUUUGCAUUUCUUUUCCUUUUUGUA